Molecule: ribosomal RNA, 754 nt
Filed under: Dujonia oleophila
Lineage: Eukaryota; Fungi; Ascomycota; Pichiomycetes; Serinales; Debaryomycetaceae
Description: LSU rRNA
Rfam family: Eukaryotic large subunit ribosomal RNA
Source: RNAcentral
UUAUCCAACUCAUUGACCAGUAAAGUAUUUGUUUAUUACACAGGCUCGGCCUUACAACAACAAACAAAGUUUGACCUCAAAUCAGGUAGGACUACCCGCUGAACUUAAGCAUAUCAAUAAGCGGAGGAAAAGAAACCAACAGGGAUUGCCUUAGUAACGGCGAGUGAAGCGGCAAAAGCUCAAAUUUGAAAUCUAGCACUUUCAGUGUUCGAGUUGUAAUUUGAAGAAGGUAACUUUGGAAUUGGCUCUUGUCUAUGUUCCUUGGAACAGGACGUCACAGAGGGUGAGAAUCCCGUGCGAUGAGAUGUCCAAUUCUAUGUAAAGUGCUUUCGAAGAGUCGAGUUGUUUGGGAAUGCAGCUCUAAGUGGGUGGUAAAUUCCAUCUAAAGCUAAAUAUUGGCGAGAGACCGAUAGCGAACAAGUACAGUGAUGGAAAGAUGAAAAGAACUUUGAAAAGAGAGUGAAAAAGUACGUGAAAUUGUUGAAAGGGAAGGGCUUGAGAUCAGACUUGGUAUUUUGUGUUCCUUAUCCUUCUUGGAUUAGGUUCCUCACAGCUUACCGGGCCAGCAUCGGUUUGGAUGGCAGGAUAAUGACAUUGGAAUGUAGCUUUGCUUCGGUGAAGUGUUAUAGACUUUGUUGAUACUGCCUAUCUAGACCGAGGACUGCGUCUUUGACUAGGAUGCUGGCGUAAUGAUCUUAAGCCGCCCGUCUUGAAACACGGACCAAGGAGUCUAACGUCUAUGCGAGUGUUUGGG